UACGUAGGGUGCGAGCGUUGUCCGGAAUUAUUGGGCGUAAAGAGCUUGUAGGCGGUUUGUCGCGUCUGCUGUGAAAAUCCGGGGCUCAACCCCGGACUUGCAGUGGGUACGGGCAGGCUAGAGUGUGGUAGGGGAGACUGGAAUUCCUGGUGUAGCGGUGAAAUGCGCAGAUAUCAGGAGGAACACCGAUGGCGAAGGCAGGUCUCUGGGCCACUACUGACGCUAAGAAGCGAAAGCAUGGGGAGCGAACAGG
Molecule: ribosomal RNA, 253 nt
Filed under: uncultured bacterium
Lineage: Bacteria
Description: partial 16S ribosomal RNA
Rfam family: Bacterial small subunit ribosomal RNA
Source: RNAcentral